This 402-nucleotide ribosomal RNA is filed under the name Verrucomicrobiota bacterium. RNAcentral describes it as "Verrucomicrobia bacterium partial 16S ribosomal RNA". It matches the Rfam family "Bacterial small subunit ribosomal RNA", at positions 355 to 776 of the family's 1533-position model. The record is from RNAcentral. Lineage: Bacteria; Pseudomonadati; Verrucomicrobiota.
UGGGGAAUUUUGCACAAUGGGGGAAACCCUGAUGCAGCGACGCCGCGUGAUUUAGAAGGCCUUCGGGUUGUAAAAAUCUUUUCUAUGGGAAGAAAAUGACAGUACCAUAGGAAUAAGGACUGGCUAAUUACGUGCCAGCAGCCGCGGUAAUACGUAAGGUCCGAGCGUUGUCCGGAAUCAUUGGGCGUAAAGGGUACGUAGGCGGGUAAGCAAGUUAGAAGUGAAAUCCUGUAUCUCAACUACAGUAAGCUUUUAAAACUGCUCAUCUUGAGAUAUGGAAGGGAAAGUGGAAUUCCUAGUGUAGCGGUGAAAUGCGCAGAUAUUAGGAGGAAUACCGGUGGCGAAGGCGACUUUCUGGCCAUAAUCUGACGCUGAGGUACGAAAGAGUGGGUAGCAAACAGG